CUUUACCUACGGGGGGCAGCAGUGGGGAAUAUUGCACAAUGGGCGCAAGCCUGAUGCAGCGACGCCGCGUGCGGGAUGGAGGCCUUAGGGUUGUAAACCUCUUUUGUUCAAGGGCAAGGCACGGUCUUUGGCCGCGUUGAGUGGAUUGUUCGAAUAAGCACCGGCUAACUACGUGCCAGCAGCCGCGGUAAUACGUAGGGUGCACGCGUUAUCCGGAUUUAUUGGGCGUAAAGGGCUCGUAGGCGGUUCGUCGCGCCC
Molecule: ribosomal RNA, 258 nt
Filed under: uncultured bacterium
Lineage: Bacteria
Description: partial 16S ribosomal RNA
Rfam family: Bacterial small subunit ribosomal RNA
Source: RNAcentral